CCUACGGGAGGCAGCAGUGGGGAAUUUUGGACAAUGGGCGCAAGCCUGAUCCAGCAAUGCCGCGUGAGUGAAGAAGGCCUUCGGGUUGUAAAGCUCUUUUGUCAGGGAAGAAACGGUCUGUUCUAAUACAGCGGGCUAAUGACGGUACCUGAAGAAUAAGCACCGGCUAACUACGUGCCAGCAGCCGCGGUAAUACGUAGGGUGCAAGCGUUAAUCGGAAUUACUGGGCGUAAAGCGUGCGCAGGCGGUUUUGUAAGUUUGUCGUGAAAUCCCCGGGCUCAACCUGGGAAUGGCGAUGAAGACUGCAAGGCUAGAGUUUGGCAGAGGGGGGUAGAAUUCCACGUGUAGCAGUGAAAUGCGUAGAUAUGUGGAGGAACACCGAUGGCGAAGGCAGCCCCCUGGGUCAAAACUGACGCUCAUGCACGAAAGCGUGGGGAGCAAACAGGAUUAGAUACCCUGGUAGUCCACGCCCUAAACGAUGUCUACUAGUUGUCGGGUCUUAAUUGACUUGGUAACGCAGCUAACGCGUGAAGUAGACCGCCUGGGGAUACGGUCGCAAGAUUAAAACNCAAAUGAAAUUGACGG
This 585-nucleotide ribosomal RNA is filed under the name uncultured bacterium. RNAcentral's name for it is "bacterial SSU rRNA". It matches the Rfam family "Bacterial small subunit ribosomal RNA", at positions 338 to 916 of the family's 1533-position model. The record is from RNAcentral.